ACGUCAGCCUGGAAGGAGAGGGUGAAGAAACAAGAGAAAGAUCCCUCCUGGUAAAGCAAAAGCUGCCGGCUCCUCGAAUGUCAGCCACACGCACACGAGUCCCACAGGCCAGGAGGCACCCAGCUGCUCCCCGGGACAUCCGGGCACUGCCCGACGCUGCGCGGGGGCGGGGGGUGCGGGCGGGAAACAAACAUCUGCGAUUCUGCCAGGGAACGGGGUGAGGCCACCGAUGCUGGGAGUGACUUGGAAUAAGCACCCAGGGAGCUCGAGGCGGCGGACAGGCAUUCGGGGCCAGCGCCUCCGAUGCGGGGCCCCCCAGACCGACAUUCCGCUGCUGUGAGACGCUGCGCCACACCACGCGUUCGUGUGCAAACACUUCACACCGGCAGGCUGCAGAGUGGAAAGGGCCCACCCGGUAAGGACUUAAGAGGACCAGUGUAAAUGCUGAUCUCUCUGACUGAGGCCUUCUCUUCCUGAAAUGCCUGCCCCGAAGGGUCGUGCAAAUCGUAGCCACUCUGCUUGCACUUGCUGCUCCAGACAGGGUCUGUCCUCUGCCACCGUGCAUGGGUUUCAGCCUGUCAAGGAUGCCCAUGGUCCUGCUACAGCACUGCAGGUUCUGGGCCAGCUGGGCCAGGUAAACAGGUGGCCAGAGUGGAAGAGAUGAUGUAAAGAUGCGGCUUGUUUAACCUGGAGAAGAGCAGCUGGUCCAAGGGGCCACGGUCAGAAGUCUUCAAAUGCAUGCGUUGUAGGAAAAAAGAUGAAAGUGUUCUGUACAGCUUUGAGAGGUGGAAUCAAGUGGGCCCAGUGCUAGGAUUUAAGAGGUCAGAUUUUUUUUUUCUAACCAUCUUAUCCGUUUUAAAGUGUACAAUUUUGUAUUGUUAAGUAUUUUCACAUCAUUGUACGACAUCUUGCAAAACGGAAACUCUAUACCCAUUAAACACUAAUUCCCACUCACGCAAGCCCUUGGCAACCACCUUUCUACUUUCUGUCUCUAUGAUUUUUCACUAUUUUAGAUACUUCAUGUGAGUGGAAUCAUACAGUGUCUGUCCUGUUGUGACUGAUUUCUUUCACUUAGUAUACUGUGCUUAAAGUUCAACCAUAUUGUAGCAUGUGACAGGAUUUCCCUCUUUUUUUAAGGCUAUAUUUCAUUGUAUGUGUAGACCACAUUUUAUCUGUUCAUCUGUUGACUGGCAUUUGGCUUGCUUCCACCUGUUGGUUAUUGUGAAUAACGGUGCAAUAAACAUGGAUGUGCAACUAUCUCUUUGAAAUCCUGCUUUGAAUUCUUUGGGGUAUAUGCCCAGGAGUGGAAUUUCUGGAUUAUAUGGUAAUUCUAUUUUUAAUUUUUUAAGGAAAUUCCGUACUGUUUUCCAUAUGGCUGCCCCAUUUUACAUUCCCACCAACAGUGCACAAGGGUUCCAGUUUCUCCACGUCCUCAUCAACACUUAUUAUUUUCUGGUCUUGUGACAGUGCCCAUCCUAAUGCGUGUGAGGUGAUACCUCAUUGUGGU
Physeter macrocephalus (sperm whale) is the source of this 1507-nucleotide long non-coding RNA. RefSeq lists it as uncharacterized. The record is from RefSeq and is a predicted model, not a curated record. The transcript is spliced from 3 exons. NCBI's taxonomy places the organism in Eukaryota, Metazoa, Chordata, Mammalia, Artiodactyla, Physeteridae.